CUACGGGUGGCUCCAGUGAGGAAUAUUGCACAAUGGGGGGAACCCUGAUGCAGCAACGCCGCGUGGAGGAUGACGCAUUUCGGUGUGUAAACUCCUUUUAUAUGUCAAGAAAAUGACGGUAGCAUAUGAAUAAGCACCGGCUAACUCCGUGCCAGCAGCCGCGGUAAUACGGAGGGGUGCAAGCGUUACUCGGAAUCACUGGGCGUAAAGGACGCGUAGGCGGGCUUGUAAGUCAGGUGUGAAAUCCUACAGCUUAACUGUAGAACUGCACUUGAAACUACGAGCCUAGAGUAUGGGAGGGGCAGAUGGAAUUAGUGGUGUAGGGGUAAAAUCCGUAGAUAUCACUAGGAAUACCUAAAGCGAAGGCGAUCUGCUGGAACAUAACUGACGCUAAGGCGUGAAAGCGUGGGGAGCAAACAGGAUUAGAUACCCCGGUAGUC
RNAcentral lists this ribosomal RNA (440 nucleotides) under uncultured bacterium. RNAcentral describes it as "partial 16S ribosomal RNA". It matches the Rfam family "Bacterial small subunit ribosomal RNA", at positions 339 to 795 of the family's 1533-position model. The record is from RNAcentral.